CGCGGCCGGGGGCUGAGCCGGGGGAGGCGGAGUGCGGGCCAGCCGGGCGCUGCAGGUCGGCGCGGCGCGGGGCGGGCGGCCGGCGGGCGCGGGGCGGGGCGGGGCGGUGCAGCCGGCGAGGGAGCCCGGAACUCCGCGGGGGCCGAGGGGCCGGCGACCGGCCCCGAGCGGCGGCGGCGGCGGCGGCUGCAGCCGAGCGGCGCGUGGGCCCAGGGGCUUUCCAGCCCUGGGGCCGGCGCGGCUGGCCGGGGAGCAGCCUGGCAGCGGCAGCGGCGGCAGUGGCAGCCACCCCGGGGAAAGAGCCGGGGGAGGGCGGGGAGGCGGGGUGAAGAGGAGGAGGAGGAGAAGGAAGGGGAGGAGGGCGGGCGGAAUAAACUUCCCGAGGCGCUACGGCACGGGCUGAGAGGACAGCCGCGGGCGGGGCGGGCGCGCCGGGUGCGGGCUUGCCCGGGGGCGGCGGGGGAGACGGUCACAGAGAGUCGCAAAGUUCCCCCAGCGCCGAGGGGGAGGCUGCGGUGGCGGCGGCGGCGGCUGCAAAGAGUAGGAGCCGGAGCGGGAGGAGCGGGAGGAGGAGGAGAAGGAAGUGGCUGCGGAGCGCUCGGCCAAUGAGUGUCUGGAGCUGUGAUUAACCAGGCAGCAACACAUCAUUUCCUCCCGGCGCGGAUCCAGGGAGCCGGGAGGGAGAGGGAAGGCGGCGGGGCGGGGCUGGCCCCGCGCCCCCUGCAGGCUCCCGGCCGGGGGCGAGCCCGCCGAGCCCCGCCGAGCCUGACCCGGCCGCCCCCGGCGCGCCCCCGCGCUGUCUGGCUGGCCCGGCGGAGGCCGCGAGCGCGCCGCCCGCAGGGCUCCUCGGGCGGCGGGGAGGCGGCGGGGCAGGCCCGAGCCGGGCUCCCCGCGGCCGGGGUGGGAGGAGGAGAGGCCGCGCGGCGCGGGUGAGUGCCCAGGUUCAUUCAUGCAGCAGGCAUUUAUUGGGUGACUGUCUGCAGUACUGCAAAAGGUUGCACAGGAAAUGGAAGAUCUGGUCCCUGCAGUAUUGUUCUGGACAUCUUGGAAAAGGCACGCAGAGGGCAAAGGAAAUCUUCAUGAUUGCAAAAUACAACUGAGAGGAUAAUGAAGGAACUGAGAUCUUUUCAUUGAAGA
This 1137-nucleotide long non-coding RNA is filed under the name Equus asinus (donkey). RNAcentral's name for it is "lncRNA (ENSEASG00005024648.1)". Lineage: Eukaryota; Metazoa; Chordata; Mammalia; Perissodactyla; Equidae. The record is from RNAcentral.